Molecule: ribosomal RNA, 494 nt
Filed under: uncultured bacterium
Lineage: Bacteria
Description: partial 16S ribosomal RNA
Rfam family: Bacterial small subunit ribosomal RNA
Source: RNAcentral
GACGAACGCUGGCGGCGUGCCUAAUACAUGCAAGUAGAACGCUGAAGGAGGAGCUUGCUUCUCUGGAUGAGUUGCGAACGGGUGAGUAACGCGUAGGUAACCUGCCUGGUAGCGGGGGAUAACUAUUGGAAACGAUAGCUAAUACCGCAUAAUAGCAGUUGUUGCAUGACAACUGUUUGAAAGGUGCAAUUGCACCACUACCAGAUGGACCUGCGUUGUAUUAGCUAGUUGGUGGGGUAACGGCUCACCAAGGCGACGAUACAUAGCCGACCUGAGAGGGUGAUCGGCCACACUGGGACUGAGACACGGCCCAGACUCCUACGGGAGGCAGCAGUAGGGAAUCUUCGGCAAUGGACGGAAGUCUGACCGAGCAACGCCGCGUGAGUGAAGAAGGUUUUCGGAUCGUAAAGCCCUGUUGUAAGAGAAGAACGAGUGUGAGAGUGGAAAGUUCACACUGUGACGGUAUCUUACCAGAAAGGGACGGCUAACUACGU